AUUGAACGCUGGCGGCAUGCCUUACACAUGCAAGUCGAACGGCAGCACGGGAGCAAUCCUGGUGGCGAGUGGCGAACGGGUGAGUAAUAUAUCGGAACGUGCCCAGUCGUGGGGGAUAACGUAGCGAAAGCUACGCUAAUACCGCAUACGAUCUAUGGAUGAAAGCGGGGGAUCGCAAGACCUCGCGCGAUUGGAGCGGCCGAUAUCAGAUUAGGUAGUUGGUGAGGUAAAGGCUCACCAAGCCGACGAUCUGUAGCUGGUCUGAGAGGACGACCAGCCACACUGGGACUGAGACACGGCCCAGACUCCUAC
Molecule: ribosomal RNA, 312 nt
Filed under: uncultured bacterium
Lineage: Bacteria
Description: bacterial SSU rRNA
Rfam family: Bacterial small subunit ribosomal RNA
Source: RNAcentral